This 3020-nucleotide long non-coding RNA is filed under the name Phoenix dactylifera (date palm). RNAcentral's name for it is "long non-coding RNA (PDAC_LNC009067)". The record is from RNAcentral. Lineage: Eukaryota; Viridiplantae; Streptophyta; Magnoliopsida; Arecales; Arecaceae.
AUUUGCCUCAAUUACACUGAUAGGCUCAACUUUUAUGGUUGUAUGAUGGAUUUUACUGUCUUUUUUUUAUGAAACGAAUGAAUCAUAUGUCUAGUAUGGAUGCAUCUAACAAAAUUAAUAAAUAAAAUAACUCUGAAGAGAGAAGGGAUAGAAGCAAAUUUUGUCCAUAGAGUGUCGCCAGAAUGAUUUGCAUCAUAGAUGCCACCCAGUCUACAGCCCCAUUUGCUUUCCUAUAAAUAUGGGAUGCUUGAAAGAGAGUGCACCUUCUAGUCAGCCUCAAAAUAUCCAAUAUGAGUGGAUGUUUGCUCACUGAUGGAGAGCAUCUUGAAAUCUCUCCAACCACUGUAGCGGAAUCACUUUCAAGGAGGAUAAGGUUAGCUCUUAGAGUGAGAAUAGCAUACCCGAUCCCUUCCCAAGCAGUCCUCAACUCUAUCCCCGGAACAGAAAUAUCAAAAAGCUGUCUCCUCCAGCCUCAAAAAACUGGGAAUCAGGCCCUCUAAUUAUAGAUCCAGCUCCUCCUCUACCACCAUCUUCAGUAACACUACCAUCAAAGUUCACCUUGAGAUAGGUCGGGGUGGGGGCUCCUAGGUAAUAAAUUCCACUCUAAAUGCAUAAAGAGAUAGGGGAGGCCCGUGUGUCCCUUGUUAUCUCUAGUUCUCCUAUAAUAGUGCACUGAGUGAUCUCUGUAGCUUGUAUGAUUGCCUUUUCUAAUAUCAAUCUCGAAGACAGAGACUCAAUUCUCAAAAACCCAUCUAUUCCUUGUAUUCCAGAUGUGAUAAACAAUAUAUGCUGCUUGAAUGCAUUUGAUCUUAGUGCCCUCAUCAUUUCCGUUUGUCUUCAAAUAAAGCAAAAGAGCUUCAGUCGGGCCUGGUGUCGUGAAAACUACAGAUGGAAUAUCAGAUAAUUGCCAAACCUACAAUGCUUUCAGGCAGUGAAAGAGAACAUGAUCUACAGUCUCCUGCACUCCCUCACAAGAGUCAUAGAUAGGGAUAUUCAAACCCCUUCUACCAAAACACCACUACACGGAAUGCGAUCCUAUGCAAGCUUCCAUAGAAAUAAUGCCACUUGAGGAUGUUUCCAAAUCUUCCAUAGCCAUGAACAAUUCUUCCUACUUUCUGGGACUGCAUUGAAGAGUUUAUAAAGCUCACUGGCCUUGACUUAGGAAGUACAAGUAAAACCCCGCACCAACCUGUCGGGCAUGUCACUAUUAGGCACUGCAAUUGAUAGAAUUCUAUCAGCUAAGCCCUCUCCAAACAACUGCAUGAGAGAGACGUUCCACCUCCUCUUGUCAAGACAAAUCAGAUCUCUAAGCUUAAGAUCCCUCAUAGUAUAUUGGUUGUUGAUCAUGGUCAGCCACAAGGCCAAUGGAAGUGGAGAAAUCCAAGCAUCAUCCAUUACAUCUAUUGAGUGACCAUCACCUAUCAUCCAGCAAAUAUUAGAUAAAGACAAGUGGGGCAUGUGAGCAUACCUCUUUCCAAAUGAAGGAACUGCUGCGGGAAGGAAGAGGCUAGUUUUGCUAUCUUUUAGAUCAUGCUUUUGGUUCCACUGGCAAUUCUGAGUCAGCCAUUUCUGACAAAUAUGGGAUGCACAAUGAAUGCCAUGAACUCCAGAUGCUUUAUCCGGUAAACAAAAGUUCCUUGGUGAAUCUGAUAUUUAUGUCAAUAUGGAUAAAUAUCAUUCUUUACAAUUUGGUGUCAAUAUCAUCCAUGCAUGAGUGGCAUAUUGCUAGCACUUUUUUUUAAGAAAAAUAAAUAUUCUGUAGUUAACUGAACUGCAGUUUUUAGAAAAACUUUAGGAAAUUACUGUGUUAGUCAUCAUUUCAAGCUCCAUUGUGUCACUGGUAGUGGUCUACAAACUGCUUUAUCUGCAGACAAGUAAUAUGAAUUUUACAGUAGCACUUGUCGUCAGCCUUUGUUAUUGAUAUCUGUUUUCAGCUAAUAUGUGAAUCUUAAAGGUCUGAUGUAUUGGUUUUCUUCUGUAGAUUCAUUUUUGGUUCAUUACAUCUGACAGCCAUCAACAUGAGUUGAGGAGCAUAGCUUCUGUAACUGAAGGCUGUGUAGGAAAUUUGCAACAAGAAUAGGAGAGGCUGAGAAUUUGCUUGCAAAUAAUGUUAUUGUACGCGCCAUAGCAAUGUGGAUGUAAUUUAAAUUAAGUUUUACAUAUUCAAGGCUGAGGAGGCUUUUUAUUUUUCACUAAGCUCCGAAUAAACACAUUUAAGCAGGUUUUUAUUAUCUAUUUUUGUCUGAGUUCUAACAACAGUUGAUUUUCCAGGCCUCCCCACUUUUCCCUUUUUGAUGGUUAUUUUCCAGGCCAUGUUUGUGAAUGUUUAAAGCUGCAUGAUUGUUCGUUUGGGUCGUCAUUUGCCCACUGCAUGCUUUCUGACGGUUGAGUUGAUCAGCUACCCCAUCUUUCCUGAAGGGAACAGAGAGCUGUCCAUAUUAGAUGGCUGUCCAUCUCAAGCUUUGGUGAAGUAUUAAUCUUGCUCUAACAAUUUGGCACAUAUUAACUGAAUGAUUCACCAUGGUUUCUGAUGACCCAAAGAUUGAUUUAAAGAUUGAUUUUGAUGAUCACAAAACCUUGAAGUAUAAAUACUAAUGUUUGUGUUGCAAGAAGAAAGAUAUUUAUUUUGCAAGGAACAUAGCAUGUUGGAAGAACACAAGAAGGCCUCCAAAGCUCUCAAGAAAAGUUGGAAGAAAGCUACAAUUUAUUGGCCCAAGUUCCAAGUUCAAAUGAUUCAAGUUGGAGAAGCAAAUUCAAAGAAAAAUUUAAAAGAAUAGUCCUCGAGUCGACUCCUGAAGAAUUCGAGUCGACUCCGAUGCUUGCCGAGUCGACUCCAGAGUAGAACGAGUCGACUCCAGAGAGUAACAGACAAAAAAACAGAGAAGCUAUUUUGGACCCUGAGAGCCGAGUCGACUCCUGAAGAACUCGAGUCGACUCCGAUGGCUUGGCAGGUCGACUCCUAAGGAAGCUAGAGUCGACUCCCAGAGAAAAACAAGCAAAAAGUCAGAGAGCCAAUUUCA